Molecule: unclassified non-coding RNA, 315 nt
Filed under: plant metagenome
Description: partial contains 5.8S ribosomal RNA, internal transcribed spacer 2, and large subunit ribosomal RNA
Rfam family: 5.8S ribosomal RNA (bases 1-105)
Source: RNAcentral
GAACUGCGAUAAGUAAUGUGAAUUGCAGAAUUCAGUGAAUCAUCGAGUCUUUGAACGCACAUUGCGCCCCCUGGCAUUCCGGGGGGCAUGCCUGUCCGAGCGUCAUUGCUGCCAUUCAAGCCCGGCUUGUGUGUUGGGUCGUCGUCCCCCCCGGGGGACGGACCCGAAAGGCAGCGGCGGCACCGUGUCCGGUCCUCGAGCGUAUGGGGCUUUGUCACCCGCUCGAUUAGGACCGGCCGGGCGCCCGCCGGCGUCAAACCCCAAUCUUUCUAAGGUUGACCUCGGAUCAGGUAGGGAUACCCGCUGAACUUAAGC